CCUACGGGUGGCAACAGUGGGGGAUAUUGCACAAUGGGGGGAACCCUGAUGCAGCGACGCCGCGUGGGCGAUGGAGUGCUUCGGCAUGUAAAGCCCUAUCAGCAGGGAAGAAAAUGACGGUACCUGACUAAGAAGCCACGGUUAAAUACGUGACAGCAGCCGCGGUAAUAGGUAUGGGGCCAGGGUUAUCCGGAUUUACUGGGGGUAAAGGGAGCGUAGGCGGCCUGGCAAGGAUGAUGUGAAAUACCGGGGCUCCACACCGGGGCUGCAUUGGGAACUGGCAGGCUGGAGUGCCGGAGAGGCAGGCGGAAUUCCUAGUGUAGCGGGGAAAUGCGUAGAUAUUAGGAGGAACACCAGUGGCGAAGGCGGCCUGCUGGACGGUGACUGACGCUGAGGCUCGAAAGCGUGGGGAGCAAACAGGAUUAGAUACCCGAGUAGUC
Molecule: ribosomal RNA, 440 nt
Filed under: uncultured bacterium
Lineage: Bacteria
Description: partial 16S ribosomal RNA
Rfam family: Bacterial small subunit ribosomal RNA
Source: RNAcentral